Molecule: transfer RNA, 63 nt
Filed under: Hippodamia convergens (convergent lady beetle)
Lineage: Eukaryota; Metazoa; Arthropoda; Insecta; Coleoptera; Coccinellidae
Description: tRNA-Gly
Source: RNAcentral
UAUUAAUAUAGUAUAAAUAUUACAUUUGAUUUCCAAUCAAAAAAUCUAAUUAAUAGUAUUAAU